GUGAACGCUGGCGGUAGGCCUAACACAUGCAAGUCGAACGGCAGCACAGUAAGAGCUUGCUCUUACGGGUGGCGAGUGGCGGACGGGUGAGGAAUACAUCGGAAUCUACUUUUUCGUGGGGGAUAACGUAGGGAAACUUACGCUAAUACCGCAUACGACCUACGGGUGAAAGUAGGGGAUCUUCGGACCUUGCGCGAUUGAAUGAGCCGAUGUCGGAUUAGCUAGUUGGCGGGGUAAAGGCCCACCAAGGCGACGAUCCGUAGCUGGUCUGAGAGGAUGAUCAGCCACACUGGAACUGAGACACGGUCCAGACUCCUACGGGAGGCAGCAGCGGGGAAUAUUGGACAAUGGGCGCAAGCCUGAUCCAGCCAUACCGCGUGGGUGAAGAAGGCCUUCGGGUUGUAAAGCCCUUUUGUUGGGAAAGAAAAGCAGCAGGUUAAUACCCCGCUGUUCUGACGGUACCCAAAGAAUAAGCACCGGCUAACUUCGUG
This 491-nucleotide ribosomal RNA is filed under the name uncultured bacterium. RNAcentral's name for it is "partial 16S ribosomal RNA". It matches the Rfam family "Bacterial small subunit ribosomal RNA", at positions 29 to 507 of the family's 1533-position model. The record is from RNAcentral.